UUUAUGUUAGAUUACUUUAAAGAGUGGUUUUUAAGUUUAAUAAUUUUGUAUAUAAUGUUUAUAAUAAAUACUUUAUAGGUUGAGGAGCAAAAGGAGAGGGGCUCGCGUCUUAUUAGUUAGUUGGUGAGGCAAUGGCUUAGCGAUCGUAGCUGUCGAGAGGAUGAUCAGCCAUAUUGGGAUUGAGACAUGGCCCAGACUCCUAUGGGAGGUAGCACUGGGGAAUUUUCUACAAUGGGCAAAACCCUGAUGAAGCAAUGUUGCGUGAAGGCAGAGGGCCCAUGAGUCAUGAACUUCUUUUCUCAAAGAAGAAAAAAUAACAGUAUCUGAGGAAUAAGCAUCAGCUAACUUUGUGCCAGUAGCCGCGGUAAGACAGAGGUUGCAAAUGUUAUCUGGAAUGAUUGGGUGUAAAGCGACUGUAGGUGGCUUUUCAAGUCCAUUGUCAAAUCCCAGGGCUCAACCCUGGACAGGCAGUGGAAACUACCAAGCUAGAGUAUGAUAGGGGCAGCUGGGAUUUCUGGUGGAGCGGUGAAAUGCAUUGAGAUCAGAAAGAACACCAACGAUGAAAGCACUCUGCUGGGUCGACACUGACACUGAGAGACGAAAGCUAGGGGAGAAAAUGGGAUUAGAUACCCUAGUAGUCCUGACUGUAAAUGACGGAUAGUAAGUGAUGUGCGUAUCGACCUGUGUAGCGUUAUAGCUAACGUGUCAAGUAUCCCGCCUAGCGAGUAGAUUCACAAGAAUGAAACUUAAAGGAAUUGAUGGGGGCCCGCAUAAGCGAUGGAGCAUGUGGUUCAAUUUGAUGCAAAGCGAAAAGCCUUUUACCAGGGCUUGACAUGUUCUGAAUCCUUCGAAAGAGAGGGAGUGCCUUCGGGAAUGUGAACAUAGGUGGUGCAUCGCUGUUGUCAACUCUUGCCGUAAGGUGUUGGGUUAUGUCCCGUAACAAGCGCAACCCUCGUGUUUUGUUGCCAUAAUUGAGUUUGGAACCCUGAACAGACUGUCGGUGAUAAGCCAGGAGGAAGGGUGAGGAUGACGUCAAGUCACAUUGACCUGCCGAGGGCAAGCUAACUCAAAAAACCCGGCCUCAGUUCGGAUUGCAAGCUUGCAACUCGGCUGCAUGAAGGCCAGAAUUACUAGUAAUCAUGAUCACAUACAACGACUCGAAUUCCGUUCCCAGGCCUGUACACACACCAUCACACUAUGGGAGCUGGCCAUGCCCCAAGUCAUUACCUUAACCACAAGGAGGGGGAUGUUGAAGGCUAGGCUAGUGACUAGAGUGAAGUCGUAACAAGGUAGGCGUACUGGAAGGUGCGACUG
RNAcentral lists this ribosomal RNA (1314 nucleotides) under Pinus taeda (loblolly pine). Its description in RNAcentral is "bacterial SSU rRNA". It matches the Rfam family "Bacterial small subunit ribosomal RNA". The record is from RNAcentral. Lineage: Eukaryota; Viridiplantae; Streptophyta; Pinopsida; Pinales; Pinaceae.